RNAcentral lists this ribosomal RNA (312 nucleotides) under uncultured cyanobacterium. RNAcentral's name for it is "bacterial SSU rRNA". It matches the Rfam family "Bacterial small subunit ribosomal RNA", at positions 28 to 351 of the family's 1533-position model. The record is from RNAcentral. Lineage: Bacteria; Bacillati; Cyanobacteriota.
GACUAACGCUGGCGGCGUGCCUAACACAUGCAAGUCGAACGAAGCAGUAAUGCUUAGUGGCAGACGGGUGAGUAACGCGUAGAUAAUGUGCCCUCUUGCGGGGGAUACCGUUUCGAAAGGAACGUUAAUACCGCAUAACACCCUUGAUGGGCAUCCAUCGAGGGUCAAACUUCCGGGGCGGGAGGAGCAAUCUGCGUUCUAUCAGGUAGUUGGUGAGGUAACGGCUCACCAAGCCUACGACGGAUAACUGGUCUGAGAGGAUGAUCAGUCACACUGGAACUGAGACACGGUCCAGACUCCUACGGGUGGCUG